GCCGGGUGUGGUGGCGCACGCCUGUAAUCCCAGCUACUUAGGAGGCUGAGGCGGGAGAAUUGCUUGAACCCGGGAGGCAGAGGUUGCAGUGAGGCGAGAUCUCACCACUGCACUCCAGCCUGGGGGAGAGAGCGAGACUCUGUCUCAA
Molecule: small RNA, 148 nt
Filed under: Pongo abelii (Sumatran orangutan)
Lineage: Eukaryota; Metazoa; Chordata; Mammalia; Primates; Hominidae
Description: Metazoan signal recognition particle RNA (ENSPPYG00000039760.1)
Source: Rfam by way of RNAcentral